UGGGGAAUUUUGCGCAAUGGGGGAAACCCUGACGCAGCAACGCCGCGUGAGUGAUGAAGGCCUUCGGGUCGUAAAGCUCUGUCAGAGGGGAAGAAGUGUGGGGUGGCUAAUAUCCAUUUCACUUGACGGUACCUUCAAAGGAAGCACCGGCUAACUCCGUGCCAGCAGCCGCGGUAAUACGGAGGGUGCGAGCGUUGUUCGGAAUUAUUGGGCGUAAAGCGCGUGUAGGCGGUUUUUUAAGUCUGAUGUGAAAGCCCUGGGCUCAACCCGGGAAGUGCAUUGGAAACUGGGAGACUUGAAUACGGGAGAGGGCAGUGGAAUUCCUGGUGUAGGAGUGAAAUCCGUAGAUAUCAGGAGGAACACCGGUGGCGAAGGCGGCUGCCUGGACCGAUAUUGACGCUG
RNAcentral lists this ribosomal RNA (402 nucleotides) under uncultured bacterium. RNAcentral's name for it is "bacterial SSU rRNA". It matches the Rfam family "Bacterial small subunit ribosomal RNA", at positions 355 to 748 of the family's 1533-position model. The record is from RNAcentral.